AAGAUAUUAGUAAAAUACUAAUUACGCCAUCUUGUCAAGAUGAAAUUACAGGUUGAAACCCUAUAUAUCUUA
Molecule: transfer RNA, 72 nt
Filed under: Macrochirichthys macrochirus (sward minnow)
Lineage: Eukaryota; Metazoa; Chordata; Actinopteri; Cypriniformes; Xenocyprididae
Description: tRNA-Asp
Rfam family: tRNA
About the family: Transfer RNA (tRNA) molecules are approximately 80 nucleotides in length. Their secondary structure includes four short double-helical elements and three loops (D, anti-codon, and T loops).
Source: RNAcentral